UCCCUCUUCUCUUCCCUUUAUUAGGUAACAAAAUCAGAGAUUUGUGUCUCCUCUUUGGUCUUCUCUCCCAAAGUCCACAAUCUGCUCUAAGAGAGCUCCAAGAGCUCCCUUUCUCUGUUAUUUCUUUGGCUCCAAGUAUGAAAGGACCUCAUGGCUUCAUAAUCCUCGAUCGAUUGAAGAAAACUUUAAGGAUUUCAGAUGAAGGCAUGCUGGGACAAUCAAGGCUCUCACCACUGAUAUUGAGAAAUUCUUUCAAUAAUGUGAUCCUCGUGAGUUCUGUUUCUUAUAUGGGAUUGGCGGUGUUUUGGUUUUAAAAAAGUAAUAGUGACUACGGUAUUAAUUUGGUUUAUGGAUGCUGUUAAAUUAUAUAUUUUGAGUAUUUGAGGGUUGCAAUUA
This is a long non-coding RNA of Macadamia integrifolia, 396 nucleotides long. RefSeq lists it as uncharacterized. The record is from RefSeq and is a predicted model, not a curated record. NCBI's taxonomy places the organism in Eukaryota, Viridiplantae, Streptophyta, Magnoliopsida, Proteales, Proteaceae. The transcript has 3 exons.